This 407-nucleotide ribosomal RNA is filed under the name uncultured bacterium. Its description in RNAcentral is "partial 16S ribosomal RNA". It matches the Rfam family "Bacterial small subunit ribosomal RNA", at positions 30 to 526 of the family's 1533-position model. The record is from RNAcentral.
AUUGAACGCUGGCGGCAGGCCUAACACAUGCAAGUCGAGCGGAGCGGCGGACGGGCGAGUAAUGACUAUGAAUCUGCCUGGCAGUGGGGGGUAACGUACGGAAACGGGCGCUAAUACCGCAUGCUAUCAGUUGAGCCUAGGUGGGAUGGGCUAGUUGGUGGGGUAAAGGCCUACCAAGGCGACGAUCCGUAACUGGUCUGAGAGGAUGAUCAGUCACACUGGAACUGAGACACGGUCCAGACUCCUACGGGAGGCAGCAGUGGGGAAUAUUGGACAAUGGGCGCAAGCCUGAUUCAGCCAUGCCGCGUGUGUGAAGAAGGUCUUCGGGUUGUAAAGCACUUUCAGUUGGGAGGCGUUACCCGCAGAAUAAGCACCGGCUAACUCCGUGCCAGCAGCCGCGGUAAUAC